Molecule: ribosomal RNA, 429 nt
Filed under: Acidobacteriota bacterium
Lineage: Bacteria; Pseudomonadati; Acidobacteriota
Description: Acidobacteria bacterium partial 16S ribosomal RNA
Rfam family: Bacterial small subunit ribosomal RNA
Source: RNAcentral
UGGGGAAUUUUGGACAAUGGGGGAAACCCUGAUCCAGCCAUCCCGCGUGUGCGAUGAAGGCCUUCGGGUUGUAAAGCACUUUUUGCAGGAAAGAAACGUCAUGGGUUAAUACGCCGUGAAACUGACGGUACCUGCAGAAUAAGCACCGGCUAACUACGUGCCAGCAGCCGCGGUAAUACGUAGGGUGCAAGCGUUAAUCGGAAUUACUGGGCGUAAAGCGUGCGCAGGCGGUUCGGAAAGAAAGAUGUGAAAUCCCAGAGCUCAACUUUGGAACUGCAUUUUUAACUACCGGGCUAGAGUGUGUCAGAGGGAGGUGGAAUGCCGCGUGUAGCAGUGAAAUGCGUAGGUAGGCGGAGGAACACCGGUGGCGAAGGCAGCCUCCUGGGAUAACACUGACGCUCAUGCACGAAAGCGUGGGGAGCAAACAGG